GGAAGUAAAAGUCGAACAAGGUUUCCGUAGGUGAACCUGCGGAAGGAUCAUUAAAGUUAUAGUCCCCUGGCCCUCUGGGCUGGGGUCUUCUAUACCACCCUUUGUUUAUUACACCUUUGUUGCUUUGGCAGGCCUGCCCUCGGGCUGCUGGCUCCGGCCGGCUCGCGUCUGCCAGAGGACCUAAACUCUGUUUGUAUAUGAAGUCUGAGUACUAUAUAAUAGUUAAAACUUUCAACAACGGAUCUCUUGGUUCUG
Molecule: unclassified non-coding RNA, 255 nt
Filed under: plant metagenome
Description: partial contains small subunit ribosomal RNA, internal transcribed spacer 1, and 5.8S ribosomal RNA
Rfam family: Eukaryotic small subunit ribosomal RNA (bases 1-53)
Source: RNAcentral